Molecule: non-coding RNA, 135 nt
Organism: Triticum aestivum (bread wheat)
Lineage: Eukaryota; Viridiplantae; Streptophyta; Magnoliopsida; Poales; Poaceae
Source: Rfam
UUGGUAUUCCCUCUGUUUUAAAUUACUUGUCUUUGAUUUGUUUAGAUACGGAUGUAUCUAAACUUAUUUUAGUGCUAGAUACCCUCAUAUCUAGACAAAUUCAAGACAAGUAAUUUGAAAUGGAAGGAAUAUGUG